GAAAGCUUCCUAGAGAUUUUGAACUCAAAAAACUACAGGAUAAGCAAAAGAUUAAAAAUUUGGCAGCAAAAGUAUAUGAAUGUUUUAAUCUACUGGAAGCUGCAGUGUUAAGCUGGAGAAGACUGAGCUUCAAGGCAAAGAGAAGGAAAUUUUAUUUUCUGGGAAGAAAAAAAGAUUGGAUUUUUAUUUGUUUUGGGGAUGGGAAGAAGAAAAAGAAUGGAGUUUUGAGGUCUGUGAAUUCGGAUUUCAAUGGGAAAAUGGUGAGAUAAUAAUAAGAAAGCUUGUUUUUGUUUUUCAGCUUAUUGGGUGCCUAACUUUCCUAAGACUGUCCGAAUUGAGAUUAAAAAAUUGGAAAUGAAAAGAUGGAAAUAAAAUAAGUUUUUGAAUAUGUUUAACAAUUUUGUUAAAAUAUGAAUUUUCUGGUUUUGGUUGGAAUCCGGUGAGAAGUAAUUAUAGUUUAUAAAAU
RNAcentral lists this long non-coding RNA (466 nucleotides) under Fragaria vesca (wild strawberry). Its description in RNAcentral is "long non-coding RNA (FVES_LNC002141)". Lineage: Eukaryota; Viridiplantae; Streptophyta; Magnoliopsida; Rosales; Rosaceae. The record is from RNAcentral.